AUGAACGCUGGCGGCGUGCCUAAUACAUGCAAGUCGAACGAAUCUCUUCGGAGAUGAGUGGCGAACGGGUGAGUAAUACAUAGGUAACCUGCCCCUGUGCGGGGGAUAACAGGAGGAAACUCCUGCUAAUACCGCAUAGCCAUGAGCACCGCAUGGAGCUCAUGCCAAAUAUCCUUUCGGGGAUAGCGCAGGGAUGGACCUAUGGCGCAUUAGCUUGUUGGCGGGGCAACGGCCCACCAAGGCAACGAUGCGUAGCCGGCCUGAGAGGGCGGACGGCCACAUUGGGACUGAGACACGGCCCAGACUCCUACGGGAGGCAGCAGUAGGGAAUUUUCGGCAAUGGGGGAAACCCUGACCGAGCAACGCCGCGUGAGCGAAGAAGGCCUUCGGGUCGUAAAGCUCUGUUGUAAAGGAAGAACGGCGCAUACAGGAAAUGGUAUGCGAGUGACGGUACUUUACCAGAAAGCCACGGCUAACUACGUGCCAGCAGCCGCGGUAAUACGUAGGUGGCGAGCGUUAUCCGGAAUCAUUGGGCGUAAAGAGGGAGCAGGCGGCCGCAAGGGUCUGUGGUGAAAGACCGAAGCUAAACUUCGGUAAGCCAUGGAAACCGGGCGGCUAGAGUGCGGAAGAGGAUCGUGGAAUUCCAUGUGUAGCGGUGAAAUGCGUAGAUAUAUGGAGGAACACCAGUGGCGAAGGCGACGGUCUGGGCCGCAACUGACGCUCAUUCCCGAAAGCGUGGGGAGCAAAUAGGAUUAGAUACCCUAGUAGUCCACGCCGUAAACGAUGGUCACUAAGUGUCGGGGGUCAAACCCCGGUGCUGCAGUCAACGCAAUAAGUGACCCGCCUGAGUAGUACGUUCGCAAGAAUGAAACUCAAAGGAAUUGACGGAA
Molecule: ribosomal RNA, 890 nt
Filed under: uncultured bacterium
Lineage: Bacteria
Description: bacterial SSU rRNA
Rfam family: Bacterial small subunit ribosomal RNA
Source: RNAcentral